CCUACGGGAGGCAGCAGUGAGGAAUAUUGGUCAAUGGGCGCGAGCCUGAACCAGCCAAGUCGCGUGAGGGAUGAAGGUUCUAUGGUUCGUAAACCUCUUUUAUAAGGGAAUAAAGUGCGGGACGCGUCCCGCUUCGCAUGUACCUUAUGAAUAAGGAUCGGCUAACUCCGUGCCAGCAGCCGCGGUAAUACGGAGGAUCCGAGCGUUAUCCGGAUUUAUUGGGUUUAAAGGGUGCGUAGGCGGCCUUUUAAGUCAGCGGUGAAAGUCUGUGGCUCAACCAUAGAAUUGCCGUUGAAACUGGGGGGCUUGAGUAUGUUUGAGGCAGGCGGAAUGCGUGGUGUAGCGGUGAAAUGCUUAGAUAUCACGCAGAACCCCGAUUGCGAAGGCAGCCUGCCAAGCCAUGACUGACGCUGAUGCACGAAAGCGUGGGGAUCAAACAGGAUUAGAUACCCUAGUAGUC
This 460-nucleotide ribosomal RNA is filed under the name uncultured bacterium. RNAcentral describes it as "partial 16S ribosomal RNA". It matches the Rfam family "Bacterial small subunit ribosomal RNA", at positions 338 to 795 of the family's 1533-position model. The record is from RNAcentral.